This 207-nucleotide ribosomal RNA is filed under the name uncultured bacterium. RNAcentral describes it as "partial 16S ribosomal RNA". It matches the Rfam family "Bacterial small subunit ribosomal RNA", at positions 568 to 774 of the family's 1533-position model. The record is from RNAcentral.
CGUCUAGGCGGGGAAUUAAGUUAGGUGUGAAAUCCCUGGGCUCAACCCAGGAACUGCAUCUAAAACUGGUUCUCUUGAAUUCGGGAGAGGAGAGCGGAAUUCCCGGUGUAGCGGUGAAAUGCGUAGAUAUCGGGAAGAACACCAGUGGCGAAGGCGGCUCUCUGGCCUAGAACUGACGCUGAAGCGCGAAAGCGUGGGGAGCGAACG